AGUUCAGCUUGGUAGAGCACACCCUUGGUAAGGGUGAGGUCGCGAGUUCAAUCCUCGCCACGG
This 63-nucleotide transfer RNA is filed under the name Myxacorys chilensis ATA2-1-KO14. Its description in RNAcentral is "tRNA-Thr". It matches the Rfam family "tRNA", at positions 9 to 65 of the family's 71-position model. From Rfam's summary of the family: Transfer RNA (tRNA) molecules are approximately 80 nucleotides in length. The record is from RNAcentral. RNAcentral also lists the same sequence under 1 other name. Lineage: Bacteria; Bacillati; Cyanobacteriota; Cyanophyceae; Leptolyngbyales; Leptolyngbyaceae.